AAUUCAGUGAAUCAUCGAAUCUUUGAACGCACAUUGCGCCCCUUGGUAUUCCUUGGGGCAUGCCUGUUCGAGCGUCA
RNAcentral lists this ribosomal RNA (77 nucleotides) under Tuber sp. 'rufum f. sphaerospora'. RNAcentral's name for it is "Tuber rufum f. sphaerospora partial 5.8S ribosomal RNA". It matches the Rfam family "5.8S ribosomal RNA", at positions 78 to 154 of the family's 154-position model. From Rfam's summary of the family: 5.8S ribosomal RNA (5.8S rRNA) is a component of the large subunit of the eukaryotic ribosome. It is transcribed by RNA polymerase I as part of the 45S precursor that also contains 18S and 28S rRNA. Functionally, it is thought that 5.8S rRNA may be involved in ribosome translocation. The record is from RNAcentral. Lineage: Eukaryota; Fungi; Ascomycota; Pezizomycetes; Pezizales; Tuberaceae.